Small nuclear RNA from Ictidomys tridecemlineatus (thirteen-lined ground squirrel), 103 nucleotides. NCBI's taxonomy places the organism in Eukaryota, Metazoa, Chordata, Mammalia, Rodentia, Sciuridae. The record is from Ensembl.
GUGCUUGCUUUGGCAGCACAUAUACAAAAAUUGGAACAAUACAGAGAAGAGUAGCAUGGCCCCUGCACAAGGAUGAUGCACAAAUCCAUGAAGCAUAUAUUUU